UACGUAGGUGGCAAGCGUUGUCCGGAAUUAUUGGGCGUAAAGGGCGUGUAGGUGGAUCUUUAAGUCGUGUGUCUAAGUGCGGGGCUCAACCCCGUAUGGGCGCAGGAAACUGGGGAUCUUGAGUGCAGGAGAGGAAAGUGGAAUUCCCAGUGUAGCGGUGAAAUGCGUAGAUAUUGGGAGGAACACCAGUGGCGAAGGCGACUUUCUGGACUGUGUCUGACACUGAGGCGCGAAAGCUAGGGGAG
This 245-nucleotide ribosomal RNA is filed under the name uncultured bacterium. Its description in RNAcentral is "partial 16S ribosomal RNA". It matches the Rfam family "Bacterial small subunit ribosomal RNA", at positions 524 to 768 of the family's 1533-position model. The record is from RNAcentral.